UGGGUACGGAGCAGGCGCACCCAACCCCUGUGAACAUACCACUUGUUGCCUCGGCGGAUCAGCCCGCUCCCGGUAAAACGGGACGGCCCGCCAGAGGACCCCUAAACUCUGUUUCUAUAUGUAACUUCUGAGUAAAACCAUAAAUAAAUCAAAACUUUCAACAACGGAUCUCUUGGUUCUGGCAUCGAUGAAGAACGCAGCAAAAUGCGAUAAGUAAUGUGAAUUGCAGAAUUCAGUGAAUCAUCGAAUCUUUGAACGCACAUUGCGCCCGCCAGUAUUCUGGCGGGCAUGCCUGUUCGAGCGUCAUUUCAACCCUCAAGCCCUCGGGUUUGGUGUUGGGGAUCGGCGAGCCCUUGCGGCAAGCCGGCCCCGAAAUCUAGUGGCGGUCUCGCUGCAGCCUCCAUUGCGUAGUAGUAAAACCCUCGCAACUGGAACGCGGCGCGGCCAAGCCGUUAAACCCCCAACUUCUGAAUGUUGACCUCGGAUCAGGUAGGAAUACCCGCUGAACUUAAGCAUACAA
Molecule: ribosomal RNA, 520 nt
Filed under: Fusarium oxysporum
Lineage: Eukaryota; Fungi; Ascomycota; Sordariomycetes; Hypocreales; Nectriaceae
Description: eukaryotic LSU rRNA
Rfam family: 5.8S ribosomal RNA (bases 153-306)
Source: RNAcentral